This 301-nucleotide ribosomal RNA is filed under the name uncultured bacterium. RNAcentral's name for it is "partial 16S ribosomal RNA". It matches the Rfam family "Bacterial small subunit ribosomal RNA", at positions 509 to 807 of the family's 1533-position model. The record is from RNAcentral.
CAGCCGCCGCGGGAAUACGAAGGGGGCUAGCGUUGCUCGGAAUCACUGGGCGUAAAGGGUGCGUAGGCGGGUCUUUAAGUCAGGGGUGAAACCCUGGAGCUCAACUCCAGAACUGCCUUUGAUACUGAAGAUCUUGAGUUCGGGAGAGGCGAGUGGAACUGCGAGUGUAGAGGUGAAAUUCGUAGAUGUUCGCAAGAACACCAGUGGCGAAGGCGGCUCACUGGCCCGAUACUGACGCUGAGGCACGAAAGCGUGGGGAGCAAACAGGAUUAGAUACCCGCGUAGUCCCUGUCUCUUAUAC